AGAGUUUGAUCCUGGCUCAGGACGAACGCUGGCGGCGCGCCUAACACAUGCAAGUCGAACGAGAGAUGAGGAGCUUGCUCUUCAAAUCGAGUGGCGAACGGGUGAGUAACGCGUGAGGAACCUGCCUCAAAGAGGGGGACAACAGUUGGAAACGACUGCUAAUACCGCAUAAGCCCACGGCUCGGCAUCGAGCAGAGGGAAAAGGAGCAAUCCGCUUUGAGAUGGCCUCGCGUCCGAUUAGCUAGUUGGUGAGGUAACGGCCCACCAAGGCGACGAUCGGUAGCCGGACUGAGAGGUUGAACGGCCACAUUGGGACUGAGACACGGCCCAGACUCCUACGGGAGGCAGCAGUGGGGAAUAUUGCACAAUGGGGGAAACCCUGAUGCAGCGACGCCGCGUGGAGGAAGAAGGUCUUCGGAUUGUAAACUCCUGUUGUUGAGGAAGAUAAUGACGGUACUCAACAAGGAAGUGACGGCUAACUACGUGCCAGCAGCCGCGGUAAAACGUAGGUCACAAGCGUUGUCCGGAAUUACUGGGUGUAAAGGGAGCGCAGGCGGGAGAACAAGUUGGAAGUGAAAUCCAUGGGCUCAACCCAUGAACUGCUUUCAAAACUGUUUUUCUUGAGUAGUGCAGAGGUAGGCGGAAUUCCCGGUGUAGCGGUGGAAUGCGUAGAUAUCGGGAGGAACACCAGUGGCGAAGGCGGCCUACUGGGCACCAACUGACGCUGAGGCUCGAAAGUGUGGGUAGCAAACAGGAUUAGAUACCCUGGUAGUCCACACCGUAAACGAUGAUUACUAGGUGUUGGAGGAUUGACCCCUUCAGUGCCGCAGUUAACACAAUAAGUAAUCCACCUGGGGAGUACGACCGCAAGGUUGAAACUCAAAGGAAUUGACGGGGGCCCGCACAAGCAGUGGAGUAUGUGGUUUAAUUCGACGCAACGCGAAGAACCUUACCAAGUCUUGACAUCCCUUGACGAUGCUGGAAACAGUAUUUCUCUUCGGAGCAAGGAGACAGGUGGUGCAUGGUUGUCGUCAGCUCGUGUCGUGAGAUGUUGGGUUAAGUCCCGCAACGAGCGCAACCCUUAUGGUCAGUUACUACGCAAGAGGACUCUGGCCAGACUGCCGUUGACAAAACGGAGGAAGGUGGGGAUGACGUCAAAUCAUCAUGCCCUUUAUGACUUGGGCUACACACGUACUACAAUGGCGUUAAACAAAGAGAAGCAAGGCCGCGAGGUGGAGCAAAACUCAGGAACAACGUCCCAGUUCGGACUGCAGGCUGCAACUCGCCUGCACGAGGUCGGAAUUGC
This 1306-nucleotide ribosomal RNA is filed under the name metagenome. Its description in RNAcentral is "bacterial SSU rRNA". It matches the Rfam family "Bacterial small subunit ribosomal RNA", at positions 8 to 1335 of the family's 1533-position model. The record is from RNAcentral.